AUGAAUCGGUAUCCCGUGAUUAAAAUCAGCUUCGGAUCAUUUGUGGCAACCAAUUAUCAAAACGCGCUCAAAGAGAUCGGACGAAUAUUUAAGCAGGUCAUCGAAGACCACGCCAAUGUCACGACCAGCUUCGAUGACCCGAUCUUCACCCGGAUCACCAACGGAAACGCUGACAAGAGAACCCUCUUGGAAUUCGUUCCUCUCCUUUGCGGUUGCGUCGCCAACGAGACUGACCCUAUCCUCAUCAUCGACGCCUACGACACCCCCUUGCCUCCCGCCUACGCCGCCGCCUACUACUCCAAAAUGGCCGAAUUCAUGGCCAAGUUCUUCGAGGAAAUCUUCAACGACGGCUACUACGGUUCAGCAAGAUGCUCAUCACGGGAGUAUCGACCGUGGAGUUUGAGUUGUCCACCUGCGCAAGGAGGGCACGGAAGCCAAACCCCCCACUACAACUCGCUAGCUCGGUUCUUUGGGUUCACGGAGGAGGAAGUGGUUGCGCUGUUGGCGCGAAACGGGAAGAUUAAAGACAACCAACGCACCCUGGAGGAGAAUUUCGGUGGCUAUGGUUUUCGCGAUUUCAAUGGGACAAUGCUCAAUCCUAGUGGCGUCAUUAGGUAAUGAGUUAUUUCAGUUUUAAUUUUGCGUUGCAAAAUAUUUUUGACGAUAUUGCAGUAUAUUUCCAGAUUGAUCGAAGGAAAAGGACUAGAGAGCCUCUCGAAUCCAAAAUAUCAGCGGGCAAUGGCCCAAUGGCGCGGCCUUUUUUUUUGCAAGGAAAGCACGUGACGCUAAUGAUGCGAGGUGAAAAUACUCAAUGGUUAUCAAACCGAUGUCAAAAUGCUUUGAAGGGCAAAAUUAUUAUGAAGAGUAUCCCUUUUCCUCACUGAAAAAUAGUUCUGUUGUCACAAACCAGAAUUUGGUUGUACUUCGGAACCAGAUUUUCCGGUUUGAUUUAACCAGAAUUACA
This 964-nucleotide long non-coding RNA is filed under the name Bemisia tabaci. Its description in RNAcentral is "lncRNA ENSSWEETPG011157". Lineage: Eukaryota; Metazoa; Arthropoda; Insecta; Hemiptera; Aleyrodidae. The record is from RNAcentral.